RNAcentral lists this ribosomal RNA (738 nucleotides) under Triticum aestivum (bread wheat). RNAcentral describes it as "partial small subunit ribosomal RNA". The record is from RNAcentral. Lineage: Eukaryota; Viridiplantae; Streptophyta; Magnoliopsida; Poales; Poaceae.
AUGGUUCCUCUUGGGGUUGGCAUGCAAAGCAUGAAUGAAGAUCUUCAUGCAGAAUUCUUGUUGCUUACACUUGUCCAAGAUGUCAAUAUAAAUCUUCGGGUUAUCUUCAAGCAUGUGGUUUUUUGUAAGCUCAAGUGCAGUAUCACGGUAGAGGCCAAGAAGACAAUAGUCUAUAGGCUCCCGCACUGGCCAACAAUAUUCUUUGGCUCGUGCUAUGUUAUCUUUGAAUGUCAACAUCAGUGCACCAGCUAUGCGACCAAACAUGCUGAAAGCAUUUUUGGUCUCCUACUCUCCUCCCAUCUAGAUACCCAGUCAUCAUCAAGUUUGAGGAUAACAAGGAUCUGGCCAUCUUGGCUCAUCAAACGAUCUUCAAUUUUGUCCAUGAUUCCUUUGAUCUGGAGCUGGUCUUUCGUCGUGCACUCUAUUUCCCGAAUCUUUGCUAUGGUUUCUUCAAUUAGAGCAUCCGGAAUACAAUCUGACAUUGUAUACCAUCAACUGUAUCUAUUUCUUCACAGAUUUGUCUUCCUGCAGAUCAGCUGGACCUGGUUUCUUCGUGGAUUUGUCUUCCUGCAGCUAAGCACCUGGUUUGUGCACGGAUUUCUCCUGAAGGACCUUGCGGAUCAUUUCUUUGAUUUGAUCCUCGACCAAUAUAAUGGUGCUAGUGGUGCUGACGGCGGUGGCUUGCUCCUGGAUCUGUGGGCGCUUCUUGGUGGUCACCUGGGGGAACACCUCCCUUAG